AUUUGCACAGAGGACGCUGGAGGAAGAGGAUGGCAGAGAGAAGUUGAAGGAUCCUCAUUGCUUCAAGUGUCUGGGGACAUCCCGUUGUGACAGCAUCUGUUUUAUUUGGUGCCACUGAAUUUGGACAUGAAAAUCUUUGCCUUUUUCUUUGCUGUGCUCCUCUUAAUGCUGCAGGGCACUUCAGGUUUCCUGCGUGCCCCCAACACCGAGGGGCAGUGCAGACAGGCUGGGGGGGUCUGUUCCCGGGACCACUGCCCCCAGCCCCACAGCAGACCCUUUGGACGCUGCCAGCAGGGAAUUCCCUGCUGUAGGACCGUGUAUGAUUAAUGGCCACUGACAUCUCAGAUGGGCUGACCAGAGCUUCUGGUAAUUUAAGGGAUGCAUCAUCCCAUUGGAAAAUCUGGAAUUCUGAGCAGAAAAUAUUCAGGCAUUUGGCACAUACAAGCACUUGCCACAAUGUGAAGAACAGAAAGAGAAAAAACCCCUCCACAAACAGCCUUAAGGACCUGAAGAAACUCCAAAGAAAUUCUUGAACAACACAGAAAAGACCAAUACUUUUUCAUUUUUAAAAAUGUUUUGCUGCUGAAAUUUUAUUGUGUCAACCAACAUCUGUCCCAGAGAGGUCACCAGUGUGCAGGAGUCUGUGCCCAUGAGAGGAUGCAAAGUUAUUCUUUUGGCCCUUAGAACAGCUAUUCUUUUAUUAUUGUUAUUAUUUUAUUUUCCUUUUGGAGUCAAAAAUAAUGUGAAUAAUGCCAGAAUGCUCAGCUAAGGUGUUUAUAUUUCAUAGUCUACACCUCUCAAUAAAUUUUAAUAAAGAUGCUCUGGAAGAU
This is a long non-coding RNA of Parus major (Great Tit), 830 nucleotides long. RefSeq lists it as uncharacterized. Lineage: Eukaryota; Metazoa; Chordata; Aves; Passeriformes; Paridae. The record is from RefSeq and is a predicted model, not a curated record. The transcript has 4 exons.